CGCACGGGUGAGUAACACGUAUCCAACCUGCCGUCUACUCUUGGACAGCCUUCUGAAAGGAAGAUUAAUACAAGAUGGCAUCAUGAGUCCGCAUGUUCACAUGAUUAAAGGUAUUCCGGUAGACGAUGGGGAUGCGUCCCAUUAGAUAGUGGGCGGGGUAACGGCCCACCUAGUCUUCGAUGGAUAGGGGUUCUGAGAGGAAGGUCCCCCACAUUGGAACUGAGACACGGUCCAA
This 235-nucleotide ribosomal RNA is filed under the name uncultured bacterium. Its description in RNAcentral is "partial 16S ribosomal RNA". It matches the Rfam family "Bacterial small subunit ribosomal RNA", at positions 99 to 334 of the family's 1533-position model. The record is from RNAcentral.